Molecule: long non-coding RNA, 287 nt
Filed under: Linum usitatissimum (flax)
Lineage: Eukaryota; Viridiplantae; Streptophyta; Magnoliopsida; Malpighiales; Linaceae
Description: long non-coding RNA (LUSI_LNC000870)
Source: RNAcentral
CGGGUGUAAAUAGGACGAGAGAGUUACUGAUAGAGCAGAUCUCUCUAUGACGAUGGUGAGAUACAUGGUAGGGUGUGUCUCUGGAGCGUAAAAAUCGACCGAUUUUUGCCAGUUCCUCUCGGCCAGAGAAGCAUAUUGCUUCACCCGCUGUAGACUGCUAUUUUCACCUUUGGUAUUCCGGUCUGUCUCCAGAAACUUCAAGCAGCAAUCCCUUUGAUGGCAAGCAAGCUGAAAGUAGGCAUAUGCAGCUUCUUGUUUGCGAAUUUCACCUAGGGACUCGUACAGAG